RNAcentral lists this long non-coding RNA (710 nucleotides) under Elaeis guineensis (African oil palm). RNAcentral's name for it is "long non-coding RNA (EGUI_LNC015282)". The record is from RNAcentral. Lineage: Eukaryota; Viridiplantae; Streptophyta; Magnoliopsida; Arecales; Arecaceae.
GAUCUUCAUCUUUUUUUCAGUAGUUUUUUCUAGUUGUCUUCUUGUAUUUGGGAAACUUAAUCCUUAUGUUAUGAAUUAUUUGAACACAAAUUUUUGUAGGAAUGUGCAGAUUGGAUUAUAAUUAUGAGUUUGUCUUUUAGCUAAUUAAAGUAUGGUAAUUUUUGCUCAAAAUAAAGACAUGUUAGAUUUGAGUUUCUUGGCACAUUGCUUGGCUGCCCAAAUUUAUGCCUUGACUGCUAUAUAGUUAGUGUGACCUUGUGGGUCUUUUUUUAUAACCCCACUUCUUUUGCAAGUUGAGCUCUGUUCUUCUGUUGUUAUCAUCCUAGAUUUCGGCUUUCCAAUCUGUUGCUACCUUCCUAGAUCCAAACUUCCCAAUCGAAGUUCUCCAUAUCAGCAUUCUCUGUGAUUCUCUUGAUUAGCUGUCCUAGGUCCAAACUUCAUACUCAAUAUUGCUUCCCUAGGCUAUUACUCUUGAUUUAUCAUCUUUCCAGUUCUAGCACCCGAAGAUCAUCCUAUGGCAUGCGUGCCUGCAUGCACUUGCCCGCACGCUGGCAUGCUUGCACUCGUGCACGCACACAUGCAAACACAUGCACUUGCACACUUAUGCGCAUGAGCAUAUGCGGUCAUGCAUGUGCACAUGCAUGCACACAUGUAGAAUGAAAAUCUAUACUGUGUCACAGAAUUUCCCAAGGUUCAAAAUGCUUGCGAGG